This is an RNA transcript of Cucumis sativus (cucumber), 1857 nucleotides long. It is a transcript of the gene named methyltransferase-like protein 23, with no coding region annotated. Lineage: Eukaryota; Viridiplantae; Streptophyta; Magnoliopsida; Cucurbitales; Cucurbitaceae. The transcript is spliced from 10 exons. The record is from RefSeq and is a predicted model, not a curated record.
UUUCGAGAGAAAAAAAAGAGAGGACAAAAUAGGAAAAGGGUUAGGGUAUAGACAUCAAGUCAUUAAUCGUCCGAUCCUAUUGGACCGGAGUCAAUCGGUUCGGUACUAAACCGAAAACCGGAGAAACUCCCGUUAUACUUCAUCGUGCAACUGCUCCCGCCGGUCAAAGUCAGAUGGCCUAUUUCAAUCGGCCCUCCGUAGACGGUGAUCCUGACAAGCCGGCCGAUCCAUCCUUGACGACUACAUCGCAUCAUGUUUUUGAAGACGAUGCCGGAAAAUCGGUAUUCUCCAUUGCUAUCAUCGAGAAUAUGGAAGAGGAAUAUGGCCUUUAUGUGUGGCCCUGUAGUAUUAUCCUGGCCGAGUAUGUAUGGCAGCAGAAAGCACGAUUUGCUGGUGCUAAUGUCGUUGAGCUUGGUGCUGGUACUUCAUUGCCUGGAUUGGUUGCGGCUAAAUUAGGCGCCAGUGUCACCUUGACUGAUGAUGCUAAUAGAGUGGAGGUGCUGGACAAUAUCAGGAAAGUUUGUGACCUGAAUAAUCUUAAUUGUAACAUAAUGGGACUUACUUGGGGGAUCUGGGACAUAUCGAUUUUCAAUCUACGACCUACAAUUAUUAUUGGGGCUGAUGUAUUGUACGAAAACAGUGCAUUUGAUGAUCUCUUUUCUACCGUGGCCUUUCUUCUCCAAAAUUCACCGGGGUCAGUUUUUAUAACAACCUACCACAAUCGUAGUGGGCACCAUCUCAUUGAGUUCUUGAUGGUCAAAUGGGGGUUGAAGUGUGAAAAGCUUGUUGAUGGAUUUGCAUUCUUGCCAUCGCAAAAGGCCUCCAAGCUUAGUGGCAAUAUUCAAUUGGCUGAGAUUGUUCUCAAUUGCGGACCAGUCAAGGAGACUUCUCUGGUGAAAUGACGAACUUCACAAGUGUGUGGUGGAAAUAUACAAGUGUAUGGUGGAGCUGUUAAGUUCAUUAGUCUUCUUCUACUUUGAUCCAGAGCCAAGAUAUCAGCACAAGAGACAACACCAGGACAAUAAGAUUCCAGUUCUUUCUUCGCAUUGUCAAUCACAAAAAACGAAUGCAAAGACAAAUUAGGUGGCCCAUCUUUCUCUGCCACGUUGUUCCCUACUGAAUUCAGCAGUAUGGAUGCAUCACAACCCUUCAAACCAAGUAAUCAAACAAAACCAGUUUAGUUUUGUCAAACACAGAAGAGAAGUUUAAACAUGCUGAGAAUUCUAAAGAGAAUAGAAUACCCUAAUAAAGCAGUCAUGAAAGUGCAUCCGGAGAAGUGCAGCAGGAACAGUCUUGUCUUUAUAAGCUGCAGCCCUGACAGCUUUAGUAACGAUGAAGUCGGCACCAGGGCAUGUCUUCUCGUAGUAGUCUAAGCUCAAUGAACUUCCCAAGGACAAAACAGACAGCAAAAGAACUGCAAAGUGUGAGAAUAGCACAGCAAAGGAGGCCAUGACCCUCAAAUAUAGGAAAUGAAAGGGUGAUAGAAGAGUUAGAAUACAAAGCCGUGACAUGAUAGCGGCCCCCAGACGUUGAACAUCAAUGCAAAUAAUGGAGAAGUGAUUCUGAAGCAAUGCUGAAUCUCAACAACAUGCACGACACUGGCUGCUGUUGCUCCUUGAACCUCAACUUUUGGACUUUGGAGAGGGACAAAAUCAUGCAAAAUUUUGGUAAUAAUUAUGUUUGCUUUGGAUAAAAUAAAAGAUUUUGAAACCCAAAAUUGGUUUUACCAUACUCUUGUUGUAGUUUUUGGCAUCUUUUAAUUGGUCCCAUUAAAUUGGUGCACUUUAACAAAACACGGUUUCGAAGAGACCAAAUAUUCUUCAUUUAUAAAGUAAAAGCUAUGCUACUUUAAAAUUA